RNAcentral lists this long non-coding RNA (5464 nucleotides) under Gossypium raimondii (Peruvian cotton). RNAcentral's name for it is "long non-coding RNA (GRAI_LNC002558)". The record is from RNAcentral. Lineage: Eukaryota; Viridiplantae; Streptophyta; Magnoliopsida; Malvales; Malvaceae.
GAAUUUUGAAUUUUGAAUUUUGAACCGGAUUUGAUUAUGAAAGAAUCUUGUUUUCUGAUGGUUAUCCUUAUUUUUUAAAUUGCAGAGGGAAUACACCGUUUUGCAGCAAAGAGUGUAGACAAGAACAGAUGGAGAUCGAUGAAGCCAGAGAAAAGAAAUUGAAAUCUGGCCGAUCUCUUAGAAAAUCGGAUUCAAAGAGCUCUACACCCAACAAAACUGUUCGGACGGGCAUUGUUACGGUGUCGUAAUUACAUCUUUGCUUCUUCUUUUUUUCUUUUUAUAAAUGAUAAUUGUAUCAUCAUCAAUUUUGAAAAAAAAACGAAAAAACAAGAUCGGGACAAGAAGGGAAAAAGAAAAAGGAAACCUUCAAUGGAAUUUUGUAUUUUCGUUUUAUUAUUGGGUAUGCUGUUUGAGAGGAGUGGAUGUUUAUGGGGGGGAAUCGGAUGUGCAGUUUUCAUUAAUGGAAAAUGUGCAAAGAUUUAUAAUUUCUGGUAGUCUUGAAAAUUUUGAAGCAUUCAAGUUCCAAAGAUCCCUCUUUUAUUCCUUUCCGACCAAUCUGUAAUAACGGGACUACGGGAGAUCAUACCAUUCGAUCUAACAUGUUGUCCCUUUCAUUAAGCAAAUGGAUAUAUAAUUUUUUAAGGGGUAUAAGGGUAAGAAGGGAGAAAAAAACCUGAUUGAUCAGUAUUUGCUUAAUUCAAUGAAUGUGGACAUGGGUGAACAGUAUAUUGAGUAUUGGGCAAUAGCUUUUAAGGGGGAAAAUCAUAUUUUACCGAUUUCCUGUAAAUUUCGGACCAGAGUUGGAGCUGGAAAGAACUUUUUGUUUUAUUCUGUACUGAAUGGACCCUCCCUGAUUGAAUCGUGUCGUUUCCAUGAUGGUUCGAAGGCAUCUCUUCUUUAGCAAAUUACAAAUGGAAUAAAUUACCAUAGCAAUAGACGAAAUUAAAUAUNNNNNNNNNNNNNNNNNNNNNNNNNNNNNNNNNNNNNNNNNNNNNNNNNNNNNNNNNNNNNNNNNNNNNNNNNNNNNNNNNNNNNNNNNNNNNNNNNNNNNNNNNNNNNNNNNNNNNNNNNNNNNNNNNNNNNNNNNNNNNNNNNNNNNNNNUAUCAAUAAUUGGCUUUCUGAGUCCAAAAAAUUGUGGCGAUUCAUCUUUGUUUAAUCAUCAUAAGCCCAAAACAUAGCCCAUUUAUACUCCAUGGAUAUAUGCUUUUGUCCUAAAAGAAAUUGUGACAAUGGAGAAAACCUGGAAAUAGGAAGUUAAUUAAUGGGACAUAAUAGAAAUUAUCGGUCAAGUUUUUGGUAGUCCCUGCACUACUCCAUAUGCACAUGCUAGAAAAGGUUUAUAUAUUGUUGGAAUCUAAAUUCGUUAAUUGUUUGAAUUGAUUAAGUUGAAUCUAAAGUGAUUAUCUACGUUGUUUGAUUUCUUUAAACACAAUAAGUAAUUUCACUAUCUUUUGACCCACAAUAAUAAAAGUGAAUCACGCUUCACUCCUAGUAUAGAGACCUCCCCUUUGUACUUAAAAAUUAAAACUCACCUCUAAACUUUUCUUUUGAGAAUUUAGAUUGUAAGCACAAUCUUUUUGCACUUCAAUUGCACUCAAAAGUACAUUCUUCAAUGAAACAGAUAGUACAUAAAACUAUUCAAGUUUCUCACAUAUAUAGAUGUUUAAGACUUGAUAAUAUACUAGAGAUCAACUACAAUUCAAUCCUUAUUAAAUAGCAAAAUAUAAUAGAUUGAUAAAGUGCAAUGUAAAGUAGAAUCCCUGGAGAUAUGUCUUCAAUGUAAUCCCAAUCUAAUCUCCAUAUUUUAAAGGAUUCGAUUGCUUAAUCCGAUUCAAUCAAAUCUUCAAAAAUUUGUUGCUCCACAAUAUGAAUCUUCAAAUAUGAGCCAAAUACACAUCCAUAAAAUCAUUGAAGUCAUUGCCCAAGUGAUGUGGUUGAAAAGAUUUCCAAUUCCAAGUAUGACAAGUUAUGCUGCCCAAGCCUUCCAUAUUUUGAGCACAAUUGAUAAUUUUUGCUUCACAAGAUAAGUUUUAAUCUAUCUUGGUAUGCUUAAAUCUCAUCAAAUCAAUUAUCUUUAAUAUAAGGAUACACAAGAUUAUAAAGUCAACUCAUAUCUUCUUGGAUUGUAUAUCUCAGUGUACAAGGUAAGUAACAUAAGAAUCCUUGAAAAGUAAUCUUGCUUUAUUCCAUCUUUUCUCUAGUGAUAAACAUAAGAUUGGCUGCAUAAAAUCCUCAAAAAUAGAUAACAAAUCAUCAAAAUAUUUUGAUCAAACAUGCCAACAAAUAAGACAAGUUAUAUGUUUCACGCAACGAUGAUGAAAAUGAUCAUUUCCAUCAACCACUUCAAAAACUUAUCUCAACAUAUAUAUAUAUAUAUAUAUAUAUAUUUUAAAAUUUAACAUCUAAUUACUAUAUUUUAAUUUUGAGAGUAAAAAUCUACCUUCCAUCCAAUUUUGCCAUUAGUUGGUUACCAUCAACAUUUAUAGUUUUUAUGAAAUUGGUGCUUAUUCUUUAAAAAUUAUGUAAAUAAAAAAAAAGGGUUCAUAUUUUUUUAUAAAAAUUAAAAGUUUAAAUUCUUAUGGGUUGUUUUUCAGAUGGAGACCAAUCAUCAAGCUGAUUGUUGAAAACCCAAAGCCCAUCUAUGGUAGCAAUACCAUAAAAUGGCUAUGAAAUUGUGAAUGAAAGAAAAUAAGAAGCAAGCGAGUGAACAUGGAAUAGUGACACAAAGUCAUGUAUUUUUAGGCAUUUCACAUCUUCCAUGGUUGGAGAAUGAGGGUAUAAUGGCUUGGAAUGCAAAUAUGGUGUCAAUCGAGUAGGUUCUCGAGGUUGGCUGAAAAUGAUAGGGCCUUGUAGGCGGAUUAUGGAAGAGCUGCUUCGGUGAUUGCCAUAGGUGAGCUAUUGAAGUAAACUUGUGUUAUGGGAUAAAUUUUUUUUUUUUUUGGUUAUGCCUUUUUAUAUAUACAUCAAACGAGUUUUAAUUGGGCAUUGGCCGAAUGUAAGGCGGGCGAGCAGUGACUUUGACCCUAAUAAAAAAUAAAAUUGUCUUUUAAGUCUUAUUAAAAUUUAAAAAAAUUUAUAAAUUAAUAUAAUGAUAAAAAUAUAUUUUUAUCUCUAAAAAAUUUAUAAUUCAAAAUCGACCCUCUUGAAUUGAUGUUCUGGCUUCGCUGCUACUUUGAAGAUAAUUUUAGUGAAAUUUGAGUAUAAAUUUAUUAUUUCUUGAAAUUAUAUUUUUUGUUGAAAAUAAGAAGAUAUUUAAUUUUUUAUUUUUGGGUUAAUAUAUAUUUGCCUCCUGAACUAUGGUAGCCUCAUAUCAUGAUAUAUGACAAGCACUAAUAAAAAAAUUUAAAAAUAUUUUACCUUUAAAAUGAAUCUGGACAUAUGAUUGUCCAAAUUCAUUUAACUUGGAUAACCAUUUGUUUAAAUUCAUUUUGAACUGAUUUUUUUAGUAAACUUUAUAUGUUUUUAAUUUUUAUAUUAUUAUUUUGAAAUUAAAGAUACAUAAUAUAUUAUUAUUUUGAAAUUAAAGAUACAUAAUAUAUAUAUAUAUAUAUUUUAAAAAUAUAUAAAUUUAUAACUUUUUUAGGUGAAUAUGAACAAAUUAUUGUUCAAAUUUCAACCUGUACAAGUACAAAAAUGUGAUUUUGUGAAGGUUGGUUAAUUAAAGAGACGGAGGGUCAGAAAGGAAUAAGAGGAUAAGCUAAUUAAGAGAGAGAAAUAAUUUGCUUAGAGUAAUUUUAAGGUUUUUAAGAGUUGGUCCGUUCAUCAUUGUUAAAGGAGUAUUUAUAGGAGAGGUUCUAUUGUCUACAAAUGUGAUGUGGUAAGAUAAAUACUAAGUCCCACAAAAUGUAUAAAUGAUAUUCAUGGGCGUGAAGGAUGUGCACCAUGGGAUCCUAUUCUAUUAUGCAUUCAAUCAAUACGAGUUUAUUAUGCCUAAAAAUGCGUGCUAUUGACCUAUUUCCAAUAUUUUAUCAUAACGCUUAUUUUGUAAUAGAAACAAUCCAUCUAGAAUACCCGCAUUGACUAAACUGUCUAGAGAUUUUUGAGUGUAACAUUAGCUUGUAGACAAAUUUUUUGUAGUUGAGUUCAUUGAACCGUAAUAAAUGCACGCUCGUAAAUAUAUGAAAUAAUGUAGAGAAGAGAAUCUUUUGGUGAUUAAAAUACUUAAAAAUAAUAUUGAUGGGUGACGUAAACCCCAUUUAAGUAAUUGAAAAACAAUGUUGCUUACGAGACACACGCACACCCUUCUUUUUAAUUUGAUUUGAUUCCUAUGCAUUAUCAACAGACCACUUUUAUUUAUAUAUUUAUAAAAACAACUUCGGCAGAAAGUAAAAAAGAUAAAACCAAACCGCUUUUACAAACAUUUCCAAUCAACGUCUAACACCUCUCCCAUUUGUUUGGGCUACAUAGUCUUACUGUACUCCCUGUACUACCUGAUUGCACCAACUCAGAAUCCAAGCUCUCACCUCCGUUUGCUUUAUAUAUAGCUGCCAAGCUUUAACGCCCAUCAAACUCACUCUUUUAUUCUCUUCCACCCUUUUUCAGCUACCAGCGCCGCCCUCAGCUCCGGCCAUACUUUACGAAAUUCAACAAGUAGCAAGCAGUUAAUAUGUCGGGUUAUUAUUAUCACUCAGGGUGCCCAGAUCGGUACGGGGCUCACUAUCUGGAUGCCUGCUCCGUUUGCGGCAAAUCGCUUCAUAAUUCCGAUAUUUUCAUGUACAGGUUGGUUUGCUCUUUAGUAUUGAUUUUAAAAUUCGAAUCGUGUUUGAGUAUGAAAUAAUUUUGUUUCCUGAUGGGUAUUUUUUAAAUUGCAGAGGGAAUACACCGUUUUGCAGCAAAGAGUGUAGACAAGAACAGAUGGAGAUGGAUGAAGCCAGAGAAAAGAAGUUGAAAUUUGGUAGAGCACAUAGGAAAUCGGAUUCCAAGACCUCUACACCCAACAAAACUGUUCGGACGGGAACUAUUACGGUGUCGUAGUACAUAUUUGCUUAUUUUUUUCUUAGUAGGGUGAUAAUGGUAUCAUCAAUUUUGAAAAAAAAAACGAGAAACAAGAUAAGGAAAAAGAAAACCUUGAAUGGAAUUUUGUAAUAUCGUUUUUUAUUGGGGCUGACAGUUGAUAAGGGAGGAAGCGGGAGGUAUCAGAUUGUGUAGUUUCCAUCAAUGAAAAAUAUUCAGAGAUCUAUAAUUUCCGGUAUUCCUGAGAAUUGAAAGCUACCUUUUAAUGAUGUGUGAUAACUAAAUUUGAAUGAGAUCGUAACAAGGCAAAGUUUUGUGCUCAUCACGAUAGGGUCUGCUUUAUUAAGCAAAUGAGAAAAAAACAAGAUAUAUCAGUAAUUAGUAAAUGCAGUGAAUGUGUACAUCGUUGAACGGUAUAUUGUCUUGAGCAAAAGCUUUUUUGUCGGAUUGAAUGGACCCCUGCCUCCUACAUACUUUUCACUUGUUUUGUCCCAUUCAGUCAACCCUUUU